RNAcentral lists this long non-coding RNA (511 nucleotides) under Ictidomys tridecemlineatus (thirteen-lined ground squirrel). Its description in RNAcentral is "lncRNA (ENSSTOG00000033080.1)". Lineage: Eukaryota; Metazoa; Chordata; Mammalia; Rodentia; Sciuridae. The record is from RNAcentral.
UACUUUUAUUUAUUUUUAUGCUGAGGAUCAAACUCAGUGCCUCACACAUGCUAGGUGAGCACUCUACCACUGAGCCACAACCCCAACCUGAAAUUCACCUCUCUCUCUCUCUCUCUCUCUCUCUUUUUUUUAAAUCUAAGCUUGCAAUUCUCUGAAAAGUCAUUAGUCUAAUCAGUUUAAUUAUUUAAUUGAUUUUUUUUCUUCCGGUGUUUGAACACAAUCAUUAUUUAGUUUGGGGAAGUUAGGAGAAUAUAGAGUUAAAAGUAAGGAAAGAAAAAGCUAAAGUCUUUUGUUUUUUAGGUGAUUGGAAUGAGAAGAUCAAAGAUCAAAUUAAGCAGAUGAUAGAUGUCUCUCAGACACAAACUACAAUAUCAGUAGUUGAAGACUAUCUAAAACUUUUACAACUUAAGCUAAGAGCCUCGAUGUCUACAAAAUGUAAUUUAGAAGGUGGGUUGUUCUGGAGAAGAAAUUGCCAUGUUGGAAAGUCUUAAAAUUUUAUUGGAAAGAUAAA